ACAAGCGGUGGAGCAUUGUGGUUUAAUUCGAAGCAACGCGAAGAACCUUACCAGGUCUUGACAUCCCGAUGCUAUUCUAGAGAUAGAAAGUUACUUCGGUACGUCGGUGACAGGUGGUGCAUGGUUGUCGUCAGCUCGUGUCGUGAGAUGUUGGGUUAAGUCCCGCAACGAGCGCAACCCCUAUUGUUAGUUGCCAUCAUUCAGUUGGGCACUCUAGCGAGACUGCCGGUAAUAAACCGGAGGAAGUGGGGAUGACGUCAAAUCAUCAUGCCCCUUAUGACCUGGGCUACACACGUGCUACAAUGGUUGGUACAACGAGUUGCGAGUCGGUGACGGCGAGCUAAUCUCUUAAAGCCAAUCUCAGUUCGGAUUGUAGGCUGCAACUCGCCUACAUGAAGUCGGAAUCGCUAGUAAUCGCGGAUCAGCACGCCGCGGUGAAUACGUUCCCGGGCCUU
This 455-nucleotide ribosomal RNA is filed under the name uncultured Streptococcus sp. RNAcentral describes it as "bacterial SSU rRNA". It matches the Rfam family "Bacterial small subunit ribosomal RNA", at positions 925 to 1382 of the family's 1533-position model. Lineage: Bacteria; Bacillati; Bacillota; Bacilli; Lactobacillales; Streptococcaceae. The record is from RNAcentral.